This 253-nucleotide ribosomal RNA is filed under the name uncultured bacterium. RNAcentral describes it as "partial 16S ribosomal RNA". It matches the Rfam family "Bacterial small subunit ribosomal RNA", at positions 524 to 776 of the family's 1533-position model. The record is from RNAcentral.
UACGUAGGGUGCGAGCGUUGCCCGGAUUUAUUGGGCGUAAAGGGCGCGUAGGCGGCCACGCACGUCCGUUGUGAAAUCGCCCGGCUCAACUGGGCGGGGUCAGCGGAUACGGUGUGGCUCGAGCAAGCUAGGGGGCAAUGGAAUUCCCGGUGUAGUGGUGGAAUGCGUAGAUAUCGGGAGGAACACCAGUGGCGAAGGCGGUUGCCUGGAGCUUUGCUGACGCUGAGGCGCGAAAGCGUGGGGAGCGAUCCAG